RNAcentral lists this ribosomal RNA (263 nucleotides) under uncultured archaeon. RNAcentral describes it as "partial 16S ribosomal RNA". It matches the Rfam family "Archaeal small subunit ribosomal RNA", at positions 716 to 980 of the family's 1478-position model. The record is from RNAcentral.
AGUCACUGACAUUAGAUACCCGCGUAGUCCAGGGUGUAAACGCUGCAGACUUGGUGUUGGAGGCCCUUUGGGGGCAUUCAGUGCCGGAGAGAAGUUGUUAAGUCUGCUACUUGGGGAGUACGUCCGCAAGGAUGAAACUUAAAGGAAUUGGCGGGGGAGCACCGCAACGGGAGGAGCGUGCGGUUUAAUUGGAUUCAACACCGUAAAACUCACCAGGGAAGACUGUUACAUGAAGGCCGAGAUGAAGACUCUGCUAGAUUUUC